This 64-nucleotide transfer RNA is filed under the name Lachesilla texcocana. Its description in RNAcentral is "tRNA-Leu". Lineage: Eukaryota; Metazoa; Arthropoda; Insecta; Psocodea; Lachesillidae. The record is from RNAcentral.
UCUAAUAUGGCAGAUUAGUGUAUUGAACUUAAGAUUCAAAUAUGAACCUUAAGUUCUAUUAGAA